This is a long non-coding RNA of Triticum urartu, 1721 nucleotides long. RefSeq lists it as uncharacterized. The record is from RefSeq and is a predicted model, not a curated record. Lineage: Eukaryota; Viridiplantae; Streptophyta; Magnoliopsida; Poales; Poaceae.
CCUCCGGCGCACCUCCUUUCCCCUCCGCUCCCCCGCGCCUCCUUUUCUCCCACCCACAUCGCCGCCUUUGCCAUCCACCGCCUUGAACCGCGCUGUCGGCGGCCAGAUCCGUUGCAACAGACCCCCCCCCCCACGACGACGAGCAGCAGCGGAGGGAGGACGAGGAGUACGACGGCGGCGGCGGCAGGGAGUAGCAGCAGGCCUUGGGCGAGGUCGAUGAGCAACGAGCAGUAGCGGAGGGAGGAUGAGGAGCACGAAGGCGGCGGCGGUGGGGAGUGGUUUACAGCGCUGCCAGGGCCGUGCUGGAGCGGCUCGAUGCGCCGGCCGUGUGCGUCGAGGAGCCAGCUACUAGCAAGGAACACCGCCAUGGAUGCCUCGACUAGACAAAGCACAGCGCUCCUCGUCCUUGCUCCCACACCGCGGCCCUUUUCCUUCGGCGGCGGCCGCGCUGCGUAAAGAUGGAAAUGCGGGUUCAGGGAGAAACAUCGGGUGGAUCUGCUUGAAGCUCUGGAUGUCGACUUCAUUUACUCAUAUAUAAGAUUAUGGUCAGCUAAGAGGUUAUGGUGUGACACUCAAGUGAUCCAGAUUAUGGUUAGCUAAGAGGUGUUAUUUCACUCUUACUGCUUGGUGGAAGGACAGCACACUCAAGGUUCAGGAUACCACUGUUUAUUAUGAGACCACUAUUUGUGACAUAAAAGGGGUACAAAUCUUAGCAAUCCUUUGAAAGAAACUUCCUAUAUCAUUUGGGGUGAGGCUUUAAGGACGAGCAUGAAUUUUCUUGAACCUUUUUAUAGAACUUUACGUAAUGUACUGUCUGAUGAUAAUCCUUUGCUUUGUGGAUAUUCCGUUUGGUAGUAUGGUUGUAGUUCUCGGUGGGAACCUGAGACAAAUAUUGCCUGUUAUCGAGGGACGGACACGGCCACUGAUAGUCGAUGCAAGUAUCACACCCUCAUCGUUGUGGCGGUUUAUGUGACUGUCCAUUGGCAUGCACCUUUAUGUCACUCAUUGGAGUGUCCACUCUCAUUAGAUUUUCCUCCUUGGGUAAUCACCGGUUAUAUGGUUCAUGUUUUGACUGCUGCUGUUUUCUUCUCCCCACGGUAUUGUUGGCUGCUGUUCGGGUUGCUUUUCCAAGUUCUCAAGGUUGCUCUUUCUCUGCCAGAUGGAAUUCAACACUCUCUCUGAGCCAAAAGUUGGCGCCGCUCAUUGGAAUGUCUAUGUUUGUUUCACAAUUGUGGCGCCAUUGCGGUGCAACGGAUACUGGUCCUAUUAAACAUACUGAUAUGGUCUUGUUUGACAAUUUGGAAUUACUUAUUUUCCUCUGGUUGGCAGUUCUUUUAUUGCAUGUUCGUUGUGCUUCGUGCCAGUUGACUGAAAUUGUGUUCUCCAUCCAUAUAGGGAAACCAUAUCUAUGCAGAGAUUUUAGAGAAGGCUGUCCACCAGUUCAUAGAUCUUAUUUAAGAAAUCAUGGUAUAUGAGCUUAGGAAGUUCUUUGUGCUCUCAAGGAAGUAUCAAUUCAGGCCUGUUGAGGGGAUCUUGCAUGAUUAAGAUCACUUCGUUCACUACUGAUUUCAUAAGGCCUGACACUGAGCCAGAUUUCCUGUUCUGUAUGCUUUAACUCUACUGGCUCAGCUCCCUUACCCAACUGAUAUGCCUGAAAAGUUCACAUGUAUUUCCCUACCACCCGUUCAUCUGCCUAUGCCUUUCUAUAGUGUUGUUUACCA